This 383-nucleotide ribosomal RNA is filed under the name uncultured bacterium. RNAcentral's name for it is "partial 16S ribosomal RNA". It matches the Rfam family "Bacterial small subunit ribosomal RNA", at positions 523 to 904 of the family's 1533-position model. The record is from RNAcentral.
AUACGUAGGGGGCGAGCGUUGUCCGGAAUGAUUGGGCGUAAAGGGCGCGUAGGCGGCCCGGUAAGUCUGGAGUGAAAGUCCUGUUUUUAAGAUGGGAAUUGCUUUGGAUACUGUCGGGCUUGAGUGCAGGAGAGGUAAGUGGAAUUCCCAGUGUAGCGGUGAAAUGCGUAGAGAUUGGGAGGAACACCAGUGGCGAAGGCGAAUUACUGGACUGUAACUGACGCUGAGGCGCGAAAGUGUGGUGAGCAAACAGGAUUAGAUACCCUGGUAGUCCACACUGUAAACGAUGAAUGCUAGGUGUAGGGGGUAUCGACCCCUUCUGUGCCGCAGUCAACACAAUAAGCAUUCCGCCUGGGGAGUACGGCCGCAAGGUUGAAACUCAA